GCAUUAGGUUUUUACCUCACAUGCUUAAACAACUAAAAUCAAUUUAGCAUUUUGUAUGUGGUAGGCUCCAAUGCUCAAUUUGAAGCAAGUUAAAUUUAUUAGUGUAAUCCUGCUAUCCCUUAUGCUUAUGUUGAGCUCAAAUACUAAAUAAAAUGACUUUUAGAUUUAUGAAAUAAAAUUAGACAUUAAUUUGCUUAGUAUCACAUGUUAAGAAAAACUUAAGGUAUUAAAGUAUCU
This 237-nucleotide long non-coding RNA is filed under the name Ricinus communis (castor bean). RNAcentral describes it as "long non-coding RNA (RCOM_LNC002239)". Lineage: Eukaryota; Viridiplantae; Streptophyta; Magnoliopsida; Malpighiales; Euphorbiaceae. The record is from RNAcentral.